This 369-nucleotide ribosomal RNA is filed under the name uncultured bacterium. Its description in RNAcentral is "bacterial SSU rRNA". It matches the Rfam family "Bacterial small subunit ribosomal RNA", at positions 525 to 896 of the family's 1533-position model. The record is from RNAcentral.
ACGGAGGGUGCAAGCGUUAUCCGGAAUCACUGGGUUUAAAGGGUGCGUAGGCGGUUGUAUAAGUCAGUGGUGAAAGGCCGUAGCUUAACUAUGGGAUUGCCAUUGAUACUGUAUGACUUGAAUGAGGUUGAGGUUGGCGGAAUGUGGCAUGUAGCGGUGAAAUGCUUAGAUAUGCCAUGGAACAUCGAUUGCGAAGGCAGCUGACUGGACCUGAAUUGACGCUGAGGCACGAAAGCGUGGGGAGCGAACAGGAUUAGAUACCCUGGUAGUCCACGCCCUAAACGAUGCUUACUCGUUGUUUGAUCGAAAGAUUGAGUGACUAAGCGAAAGCGAUAAGUAAGCCACCUGGGGAGUACGACCGCAAGGUUG